UAGGGAAUAUUGGACAAUGGGGGCAACCCUGAUCCAGCCAUGCCGCGUGAGUGAAGAAGGCCCUCGGGUUGUAAAGCUCUUUUGUCCGGAAAGAAAAGCUUCGGGUUAAUACCCCGGGGUUCUGACGUUACCGGAAGAAUAAGCACAGGCUAACUUCGUGCCAGCAGCCGCGGUAAUACGAAGGGUGCAAGCGUUACUCGGAAUUACUGGGCGUAAAGCGUGCGUAGGUGGUUGUUUAAGUCCGAUGUGAAAGCCCUGGGCUCAACCUGGGAAUGGCAUUGGAAACUGGGCAGCUAGAGUGCGGUAGAGGGUAGUGGAAUUCCCGGUGUAGCAGUGAAAUGCGUAGAGAUCGGGAGGAACAUCUGUGGCGAAGGCGACUGCCUGGACCAGCACUGACACUGAGGCACGAAAGCGUGGGGAGCAAACA
RNAcentral lists this ribosomal RNA (427 nucleotides) under uncultured bacterium. Its description in RNAcentral is "bacterial SSU rRNA". It matches the Rfam family "Bacterial small subunit ribosomal RNA", at positions 355 to 774 of the family's 1533-position model. The record is from RNAcentral.